CAAGAGUUGCAUGAGAGUUGAUGAAAAUUGACUGGAUAUUACCCGUGCGCGCGGGGCGAAAGCUCUUAUCAUAGUGCAACUAUAGUCAUGUGCCUUUUCUUUGUGGCGUGUGUCUAUUUCGAAGUGAUUAUAGUUCAAACUAGUCAUAGUUUGUUCUACCAGUUCUAAACUGUUCUCCCUAGAGGUCCGGUGAAGACCACCAUUUAUUAUCC
Molecule: non-coding RNA, 212 nt
Organism: Paramuricea clavata
Lineage: Eukaryota; Metazoa; Cnidaria; Anthozoa; Malacalcyonacea; Plexauridae
Source: the annotation of a GenBank genome assembly